GACGAACGCUGGCGGCGUGCUUAACACAUGCAAGUCGAACGGUGAAGGGACCGGUUUUUGCUGGUUCUGGAUGAGUGGCGAACGGGUGAGUAACACGUGAGUAACCUGCCCCCUUCUUCUGGAUAACCGCAUGAAAGUGUGGCUAAUACGGGAUAUUCUGCGCCUGCUGCAUGGUGGGUGUGGGAAAGAUAUUGUUUCGGUGGGGGAUGGGCUCGCGGCCUAUCAGCUUGUUGGUGGGGUGAUGGCCUACCAAGGCGGUGACGGGUAGCUGGCCUGAGAGGGUGGACGGUCACACUGGGACUGAGACACGGCCCAGACUCCUACGGGAGGCAGCAGUGGGGAAUAUUGCACAAUGGGCGCAAGCCUGAUGCAGCGACGCCGCGUGAGGGAUGGAGGCCUUCGGGUUGUAAACCUCUUUCGCCAGUGAAGCAGGCCUGUCCCUUGUGUGGGUGGGUUGACGGUAGCUGGAUAAGAAGCGCCGGCUAACUACGUG
Molecule: ribosomal RNA, 493 nt
Filed under: uncultured bacterium
Lineage: Bacteria
Description: partial 16S ribosomal RNA
Rfam family: Bacterial small subunit ribosomal RNA
Source: RNAcentral